CCAAAACGAGGCACGGCGCACAGCUCAGUAACACGUGGCUAACCUGCCCUUAGGACGAGAAUAACCCCCGGGAAACUGGGGCUAAUGCUCGAUAGGUGAAGAACUCUGGAAUGAGUCUUCACUUAAAAGAGUCUGCGUUAUGCUCGUAGAUUUCGCUUAAGGAUGGGGCCGCGACCGAUCAGGUUGUUGGUGAGGUAAUGGCUCACCAAGCCUUUUACCGGUGCGGGCCGUGAGAGCGGGAGCCCGGAGAUGGGCACUGAGACAAGGGCCCAGGCCCUACGGGGCGCAGCAGUCGCGAAAACUUUGCAAUACACGAAAGUGUGACAGGGCUAUCCCGAGUGCCAUCCGCUGAGGAAGGCUUUUACCCAGUCUAGAAAGCUGGGGGAAUAAGGAGAGGGCAAGUCUGGUGUCAGCCGCCGCGGUAAUACCAGCUCUCCGAGUGGUGUGGAUGUUUAUUGGGCCUAAAGCAUCCGUAGCUGGCUAAGUUAGUCCCCUGUUAAAUCCAACGAAUUAAUCGUUGGAUCGCGGGGGAUACUGCUUGGCUAGGGGACGAGAGAGGCAGACGGUAUUUCCGGGGUAGGGGUGAAAUCCUAUAAUCCCGGGAAGACCACCAGUGGCGAAGGCUGUCUGCUAGAACGCGCCCGACGGUGAGGGAUGAAAGCUGGGGGAGCGAACCGGAUUAGAUACCCGGGUAGUCCCAGCUGUAAACGAUGCAGGCUAGGUGUUUGGACGGCCACGUGCCGUUCUAGUGCCGCAGGGAAGCUGUUAAGCCUGCCGCCUGGGGAGUACGAUCGCAAGAUUGAAACUUAAAGGAAUUGGCGGGGGAGCACCACAAGGGGUGAAGCUUGCGGUUUAAUUGGAGUCAACGCCGGG
Molecule: ribosomal RNA, 873 nt
Filed under: uncultured archaeon
Lineage: Archaea
Description: bacterial SSU rRNA
Rfam family: Archaeal small subunit ribosomal RNA
Source: RNAcentral